AGUGGGGAAUAUUGCGCAAUGGAGGAAACUCUGACGCAGCCAUGCCGCGUGAGUGAAGAAGGCCUUCGGGUUGUAAAACUCUUUCAACGGUGAAGAUGAUGACGGUAACCGUAGAAGAAGCACCGGCUAACUUCGUGCCAGCAGCCGCGGUAAUACGAAGGGUGCUAGCGUUGUUCGGAAUUACUGGGCGUAAAGGGCGUGUAGGCGGACAUAUCAGUCAGGGGUGAAAUCCCGGGGCUCAACCCCGGAACUGCCUUUGAUACUGUAUGUCUAGAAUCUGUGAGGGGAUAGUGGAAUAUCAAGUGUAGAGGUGAAAUUCGUAGAUAUUUGAUGGAACACCAGUGGCGAAGGCGACUAUCUGGCACAGUAUUGACGCUGAGGCGCGAAAGCGUGGGGAGCAAA
RNAcentral lists this ribosomal RNA (402 nucleotides) under uncultured Thalassospira sp. RNAcentral's name for it is "bacterial SSU rRNA". It matches the Rfam family "Bacterial small subunit ribosomal RNA", at positions 353 to 772 of the family's 1533-position model. Lineage: Bacteria; Pseudomonadati; Pseudomonadota; Alphaproteobacteria; Rhodospirillales; Thalassospiraceae. The record is from RNAcentral.